This 406-nucleotide ribosomal RNA is filed under the name uncultured bacterium. RNAcentral describes it as "partial 16S ribosomal RNA". It matches the Rfam family "Bacterial small subunit ribosomal RNA", at positions 30 to 526 of the family's 1533-position model. The record is from RNAcentral.
AUUGAACGCUGGCGGCAGGCCUAACACAUGCAAGUCGAGCGAGCGGCGGACGGGUGAGUAAUGUCUGGGAAACUGCCUGAUGGAGGGGGAUAACUACUGGAAACGGUAGCUAAUACCGCAUACCAUCAGAUGUGCCCAGAUGGGAUUAGCUAGUAGGUGGGGUAAUGGCUCACCUAGGCGACGAUCCCUAGCUGGUCUGAGAGGAGGACCAGGCACACUGAAAGUGAGAAACGGUCCACACUCCUAGGGGAGGCAGCAGUGGGGAAUAUUGCACAAUGGGCGCAAGCCUGAUGCAGCCAUGCCGCGUGUAUGAAGAAGGCCUUCGGGUUGUAAAGUACUUUCAGCGAGGAGGCGUUACUCGCAGAAGAAGCACCGGCUAACUCCGGGCCAGCAGCCGCGGUAAUAC